Molecule: non-coding RNA, 90 nt
Organism: Hypoxylon sp. CI-4A
Lineage: Eukaryota; Fungi; Ascomycota; Sordariomycetes; Xylariales; Hypoxylaceae
Source: the annotation of a GenBank genome assembly
GCGGGGAUAGCUUAGCUGGGAGAGCGUUAGACUGAAGUGAAAUUUCAUUCGUACAUCUGAAGGUCGUGUGUUCGAUCCACACUCACCGCA